GGUUUUCAAACCUGUCCCCAGGCCUCCCCAACAGGCCAGAUUUUCUGGAUUACCUUGGAUGAGAGCAGAAACAUGUCAAAGGGUCUAUAAAGACAUUACUGACCAUGAAAUGAGAAGAUGCAUAGGGGAUUGCCAAUCCCACACAAGAAUUGUUUGUGGUCACAGGCCGGUGCCAAAUUCAAGAUCAUAGAACAGAUACAGAUGGACAUCAUAUUAUAUUUUUGUUUUUCUGUCAACAUUAUUGUGCAUCUGCAUUAUACCUGUACCCUAGGCCUAUACUAUAAGUUAUUCUCUGGUUUAUUACAAUGUCAUAUUUAAAAUGUUUUAAUACCUGGAAAAUUUGAAGCCUAAUAAAACUUUAAAUUAUU
Long non-coding RNA from Bombina bombina (fire-bellied toad), 368 nucleotides. RefSeq lists it as uncharacterized. NCBI's taxonomy places the organism in Eukaryota, Metazoa, Chordata, Amphibia, Anura, Bombinatoridae. The record is from RefSeq and is a predicted model, not a curated record. The transcript is spliced from 3 exons.